This 260-nucleotide long non-coding RNA is filed under the name Setaria viridis. RNAcentral describes it as "long non-coding RNA (SVIR_LNC001608)". Lineage: Eukaryota; Viridiplantae; Streptophyta; Magnoliopsida; Poales; Poaceae. The record is from RNAcentral.
UAAUCUGAGUCGGACUAUAAUGCGUAUCCUGCAAUAUCCGGGCUGAUUUGAAUCACCCGGCCUCCUUGACGUGUACUCCAAGUAUCUUCAUGUCCUUGGCCCGUAUACCCUAGUUGGGCGGUCCCACUUGUUAGGUCCAUCCAGUAUCCUGGUUAGUGGGGACCCAAGGGGUACCCUUAUCCCUCAGCCAGAGCUAUUGCUACAUGUGAUCACUAGAUCAUCCACAUACACUCCAAGCACCAGACGUUCACUACCAGCCC